Molecule: long non-coding RNA, 207 nt
Filed under: Nicotiana benthamiana
Lineage: Eukaryota; Viridiplantae; Streptophyta; Magnoliopsida; Solanales; Solanaceae
Description: long non-coding RNA (NBEN_LNC000272)
Source: RNAcentral
AGAUGAUUUGUACCAAAGACGAAGGAAACAAAAACAAACAACCGCAAAUUAAUUCAAAAAGCGUAUGAGCCAGCAAAAAAACUGACCCUUGACUGAGCUUUAUCCGGAUCAUCUAGACAGCUGCCAAGAAUAUCAGCAAGCUCACGAUCUUUGUCAUAAUUCUUCUCAUCUUCUCUACCUCUAAAUCCUCUACUAGGAGAAAAGCCC